This 773-nucleotide long non-coding RNA is filed under the name Setaria italica (foxtail millet). Its description in RNAcentral is "long non-coding RNA (SITA_LNC003419)". Lineage: Eukaryota; Viridiplantae; Streptophyta; Magnoliopsida; Poales; Poaceae. The record is from RNAcentral.
UUUCGUACCUAGGGAAGGCCACUGCAUCUCUUCAGCCAAUGGAUCAGCACAAGCUGAAAGAGCAACAGCCUUCAGGCGGACAAGCAGUAUCGCAAGCACAAUUGUCAGAUACAACAGUUGGGUUUACCCAAGUCACCUACCCAACGGCCAGGGUAUUAUUGUCUAUUUAGAUCGAGAUCAACAGCUACUAUACUGCUAAAUUGCUGUUCAUGUCAAGUUCGUCUUGUCAUCAACAAGAAUGGCCUUUCUCAUCUUCUUCUGCUUUACUGCAUCCUUUCUUCCCCUUUCCAUCUCUUCUCCAUUGCCAAUCCACUCCUCAACCACAGGUGGGCAACAGGUCGUGCAAGAUUUAGGCCCCGUUUGGUUCCCUUUGCUUAUUUUUAGCACAUGUCGCAUCGAAUGUUUAGAUACUAAUUAGGAGUAUUAAACAUAGACUAUUUACAAAACUCAUUACACAUAUGGAGGCUAAACGGCGAGACGAAUCUAUUAAGACUAAUUAAUCCAUCAUUAGCCAAUCAACACAUUGUCAAAUCAUGAACUAAUUAGGCUUAAUAGAUUCGUCUCGUCGUUUAGCCUCCACUUAUAUAAUGGGUUUUGUAAAUAGUCUACGUUUAAUACUCCUAAUUAGUAUCUAAACAUUCGAUGUGACGGGUGCUAAAAAUAAGCAAAAGUAACUAAACGGGACCUUAGUCAGGUAGCUAAACUGUAUUAAUUUCUGAGACUAAAUUAUACCAUCGUCUUACCGUCAGUGAGUUUAAUCUUCAUUGUUCUUU